UAAGCUAAUCCUAAUUAAUCCAUGGCAUGUUU
RNAcentral lists this non-coding RNA (32 nucleotides) under Mus musculus (house mouse). Lineage: Eukaryota; Metazoa; Chordata; Mammalia; Rodentia; Muridae. The record is from RNAcentral.